RNAcentral lists this ribosomal RNA (420 nucleotides) under uncultured Nitrososphaerota archaeon. Its description in RNAcentral is "bacterial SSU rRNA". It matches the Rfam family "Archaeal small subunit ribosomal RNA", at positions 459 to 879 of the family's 1478-position model. The record is from RNAcentral. Lineage: Archaea; Thermoproteati; Nitrososphaerota.
CAGCCGCCGCGGUAAAACCAGCACCUCAAGUGGUCAGGAUGAUUAUUGGGCCUAAAGCAUCCGUAGCCGGCGCUGUAAGUUUUCGGUUAAAUCUGUACGCUCAACGUACAGGCUGCCGGGAAUACUGCAGCGCUAGGGAGUGGGAGAGGUAGACGGUACUCGGUAGGAAGGGGUAAAAUCCUUUGAUCUAUUGAUGACCACCUGUGGCGAAGGCGGUCUACCAGAACACGUCCGACGGUGAGGGAUGAAAGCUGGGGGAGCAAACCGGAUUAGAUACCCGGGUAGUCCCAGCUGUAAACUAUGCAAACUCAGUGAUGCAUUGGCUUGUGGCCAAUGUAGUGCUGCAGGGAAGCCGUUAAGUUUGCCGCCUGGGAAGUACGUACGCAAGUAUGAAACUUAAAGGAAUUGGCGGGGGAGCAC